Non-coding RNA from Caenorhabditis brenneri, 73 nucleotides. Lineage: Eukaryota; Metazoa; Nematoda; Chromadorea; Rhabditida; Rhabditidae. The record is from the annotation of a GenBank genome assembly.
GACUGCAUAGCUCAGCUGGUAGUGCGUUUGUCUUCUGUUAGAAUGACCCCUGGUUCAAACCCAUCUGAGGUAU